RNAcentral lists this ribosomal RNA (117 nucleotides) under Bacillus sp. ISL-7. RNAcentral also lists the same sequence under 3 other names. Lineage: Bacteria; Bacillati; Bacillota; Bacilli; Caryophanales; Bacillaceae. The record is from RNAcentral.
UCUGGCAAUUAUGGCGAGAAGGUCACACCCGUUCCCAUACCGAACACGGAAGUUAAGCUUCUCAGCGCCGAUGGUAGUUGGGACAUGCGUCCCUGUGAGAGUAGGACGUUGCCAGGC